Mycena filopes is the source of this 92-nucleotide non-coding RNA. NCBI's taxonomy places the organism in Eukaryota, Fungi, Basidiomycota, Agaricomycetes, Agaricales, Mycenaceae. The record is from the annotation of a GenBank genome assembly.
UCGGACGUGGUGUACGGUACACGCCCUCUUUAAUUGCGGUCGAACACAUUGGCUACUAGAGGAAGUACGGGGUUCGAUUCCCCGCGUCCGGC